RNAcentral lists this ribosomal RNA (492 nucleotides) under uncultured bacterium. RNAcentral's name for it is "partial 16S ribosomal RNA". It matches the Rfam family "Bacterial small subunit ribosomal RNA", at positions 29 to 507 of the family's 1533-position model. The record is from RNAcentral.
AGUGAACGCUGGCGGUAGGCCUAACACAUGCAAGUCGAACGGCAGCACAGUAAGAGCUUGCUCUUACGGGUGGCGAGUGGCGGACGGGUGAGGAAUACAUCGGAAUCUACUUUUUCGUGGGGGAUAACGUAGGGAAACUUACGCUAAUACCGCAUACGACCUACGGGUGAAAGCAGGGGAUCUUCGGACCUUGCGCGAUUGAAUGAGCCGAUGUCGGAUUAGCUAGUUGGCGGGGUAAAGGCCCACCAAGGCGACGAUCCGUAGCUGGUCUGAGAGGAUGAUCAGCCACACUGGAACUGAGACACGGUCCGGACCCCUACGGGAGGCAGCAGUGGGGAAUAUUGGACAAUGGGCGCAAGUCUGAUCCAGCCAUACCGCGUGGGUGAAGAAGGCAUUCGGGUUGUAAAGCCCUUUUGUUGGGAAAGAAAAGCAGCAGGUUAAUACCCCGCUGUUCUGACGGUACCCAAAGAAUAAGCACCGGCUAACUUCGUG